This 848-nucleotide ribosomal RNA is filed under the name uncultured bacterium. RNAcentral's name for it is "bacterial SSU rRNA". It matches the Rfam family "Bacterial small subunit ribosomal RNA", at positions 1 to 854 of the family's 1533-position model. The record is from RNAcentral.
UUAGAGUUUGAUCCUGGCUCAGGAUGAACGCUAGCGACAGGCCUAACACAUGCAAGUCGAGGGGUAACAGGGGCUUCGGCCCGCUGACGACCGGCGCACGGGUGAGUAACGCGUAUGCAACCUGCCUGUAACAGCGGGAUAGCUCCCUGAAAGGGGAAUUAACACCGCAUAAGACCACGCUCUCGCAUGGGGACGGGGUAAAAUAUUUAUAGGUUACAGAUGGGCAUGCGUGACAUUAGUUAGUUGGUGAGGUAACGGCUCACCAAGACUGCGAUGUCUAGGGGUUCUGAGAGGAAGGUCCCCCACACUGGAACUGAGACACGGUCCAGACUCCUACGGGAGGCAGCAGUGAGGAAUAUUUGUCAAUGGACGCAAGUCUGAACCAGCCAUGUCGCGUGCAGGAUGACUGCCCUAUGGGUUGUAAACUGCUUUUAUAUUGGAAGAAUUGCGCUUACGAGUUAAGCGUUUGACGGUACAUUAUGAAUAAGGAUCGGCUAACUCCGUGCCAGCAGCCGCGGUAAUACGGAGGAUCCGAGCGUUAUCCGGAUUUAUUGGGUUUAAAGGGUGCGUAGGCGGAAAUGUAAGUCAGUGGUGAAAUCCUGCAGCUUAACUGUAGAAUAGCCGUUGAAACUGUGUUUCUUGAGUACAUUUGAGGUAGGCGGAAUGUGGUGUGUAGCGGUGAAAUGCAUAGAUAUACCACAGAACACCGAUUGCGAAGGCAGCUUACUAAACUGUCACUGACGCUGAUGCACGAAAGCGUGGGUAUCAAACAGGAUUAGAUACCCUGGUAGUCCACGCUGUAAACGAUGAUUACUGGUUGUUGCCAAACCCUGCAAGUGACUGAGCGA